This is a long non-coding RNA of Folsomia candida, 842 nucleotides long. RefSeq lists it as uncharacterized. The record is from RefSeq and is a predicted model, not a curated record. Lineage: Eukaryota; Metazoa; Arthropoda; Collembola; Entomobryomorpha; Isotomidae. The transcript is spliced from 3 exons.
AUUAUCAGGUUGGCGUACUCUCCUCCUUAGCCGACCUCUGACUUUAGUCUCAUCUAAACCGAAAGAUGUCAUAAUUUUAAGAUAUUUUGCAUUUGGAUCAAUUUCCCCUGCAGUUUUGGCCAGUGUGCAUCUCAUCCUUAAAAUGGUUUUAGAAUAAGUUAUCAUCUAAAUGAAAUUUUGCAUUAUUUUCUAAUAAAUUCUAAAACACAGUUACAUAUGCAUUUUGUUAAAAUUUAGAAAUCAACCCUGUAAAUCGUUACGAAUUAAUCGUCACUGGAUCUCGGAAGGCUAUGAUUCCAUCGUGUCAGGAAUAUUGUUCGCUGUGAAUAUCGUUUUUGUCGUGAUGUGUCAUCACGAAACAAGAAAAACACGAAAAGAGGUUGAAUUUUUACAUAAAUCUGAAACUCUAGUUAAAGCGGAUAGAACUACCCGAUUACGACUCUACGUGAAACUACUACUGCUACUCUUCAUCUUUAAUUAUUGCAUGGUGAUGAUUAAUGAUGCCCUAACGUGGGUGGAUAUAACGCCGUAUACGGAUCCAACCUAUGUUUCAUUCGUACUAAGAAAUCUGACCUGCAUGCAUGGCACAUUAUUAUUAUUUGUACUCAUGGGGCAGAAAUCAACCCUGAUAGGAUUGCGAAAAGUGGUGGAGAAAAUUAACGAGAGAAUCAAAUGCGAAAUUGGUUCUCGAGAUGCAGGCCCAAUGCAGGGAACAGCAUUACUCCUGUCAAAAGUUCGCUGUUUUACUAUGAAAUUAAAGAAAAAGAUUGUGACUAUGUUACUUAAAUUGUCGGAAUUCUGUCAAUUUGUGGAGUGUAAGAUGACAUUUUGUAAAAAAGAGA